CCUCUCAACGUGCGCUCCUCUCAACGUGCGCUCCUCUCAACGUGCGCUCCUCUCAACGUGCGUGCCGUACAGCUGCUUGUGUGUUCUUCCGCCAAUGUGUUCCUCUCGACGUCCAGCCACUUCUGUGCCUGCCUGCCUGUCUUGGGGUUUUUACAGGCACAGGAUAGGGGACGUGGCAGGCCAGGUGGUCUUGGAAAAUGCAAACUUAGGCAUGAAAACAGGAGCGCUUGUCCUCACCUAUAUCCGUGUGCACAGGACCUGAGGUGAAGCCCUAGCCACGGACCUGCCCUUCUCUACCCAGCGCUUUCCUUCUCUCAUCCCGAGUCAGUACUGCCAGGCCAUACAAUCAAUAGUACACUGUAUUUGUCCACUGGAAGAACUACAAGAGAAGUGAGAAAGACAGAUAGAAAGAGAAAGGGGAAGGUGACUGUAACACAGAUUGAUGAAAGAUUCUGCAGGACGACAAAGGUUAAAGAUGCAGACCCGGAGCUAGAAGCCAGCACUGACACUGAUGGAGUGGACUGGGAUGAGAAUGCCCACAUUAUUGUCCUAUCCUCUGAUAACCGAUGUAAUAUGAAAACCGACUACAGAAGAAAGGAACAAAUUAAAUCCAUUAAUCAAGCAUA
Gorilla gorilla gorilla (western lowland gorilla) is the source of this 626-nucleotide long non-coding RNA. RefSeq lists it as uncharacterized. The record is from RefSeq and is a predicted model, not a curated record. The transcript is spliced from 3 exons. Lineage: Eukaryota; Metazoa; Chordata; Mammalia; Primates; Hominidae.